GGGAAAGCCGCCACGGCCAGAAGCGGCGGCAAGGCCUCCUCUUUCCCUCCCUCCUUCCUUCCUGCCCCUCCCUCCGCGGCCGGAGGGUCCCGCGGCCUCGAGGCGUUUCCGAGGUGGUUUGAUUGAAGACUCCUGCCUCCUUUGUGCAAAGAUUUGACACAGAACUUUUUCAGUCAAGGGUACGAUCAGCUGAGAAAGCAAUGAAUGAGCCAAGAGCUGCAGGGACAGAUCGGGAGCCAAAAGGAACAGAAAAAAACCCCAGUGCAAUUCAUCGCCAGCAUAAGAAGGAACGUCUGGGAUGGGGAGCAUCACAACAUUGCCAAAGGGAGACCUGUCACGGGAUGCAGGAGCGCUGGGAAGCCCAGCUCCAGCAGUUCCUGAAAUCUCUGCAGCCCAUUUUAACAGGACGG
This is a non-coding RNA of Thamnophis sirtalis, 410 nucleotides long. The record is from RefSeq and is a predicted model, not a curated record. NCBI's taxonomy places the organism in Eukaryota, Metazoa, Chordata, Lepidosauria, Squamata, Natricidae.